Molecule: ribosomal RNA, 440 nt
Filed under: uncultured bacterium
Lineage: Bacteria
Description: partial 16S ribosomal RNA
Rfam family: Bacterial small subunit ribosomal RNA
Source: RNAcentral
CCUACGGGAGGCAGCAGUGGGGAAUAUUGCACAAUGGGGGAAACCCUGAUGCAGCGACGCCGCGUGAGUGAAGAAGUAUUUCGGUAUGUAAAGCUCUAUCAGCAGGGAAGAAAAUGACGGUACCUGAUUAAGAAGCCCCGGCUAACUACGUGCCAGCAGCCGCGGUAAUACGUAGGGGGCAAGCGGUAUCCGGCUUUACUGGGUGUAAGGGGAGCGUAGACGGCAGCACAAGUCUGGAGUGAAAUGCCGGGGCUUAACCCCGGAACUGCUUUGGAAACUGUGCAGCUAGAGUGCAGGAGAGGUAAGUGGAAUUCCUAGUGUAGCGGUGAAAUGCGUAGAUAUUAGGAGGAACACCAGUGGCGAAGGCGGCUUACUGGACUGUAACUGACGUUGAGGCUCGAAAGCGUGGGGAGCAAACAGGAUUAGAUACCCGUGUAGUC